UUUCGACCUGAGGUCAGGCAAGAACACCCGCUGAACUAAGCAUAUCAAUAAGCGGAGUAGCGGAAAC
This 67-nucleotide ribosomal RNA is filed under the name Trebouxia sp. 6 GS-2016. RNAcentral describes it as "partial large subunit ribosomal RNA". Lineage: Eukaryota; Viridiplantae; Chlorophyta; Trebouxiophyceae; Trebouxiales; Trebouxiaceae. The record is from RNAcentral.